UAAAAUAAUUCCAUCCGGCCCAACUGAUCUCUCCCUCUUUGAUUUAUUUUGGCCCACUGAUCAAUUAUUCCAGCCCAAAGAUAAUUAAUUUGGCCCCAACAUCUUAAUUAAGCAAUUUCAGCCCAACACUUUCCUUAAUUCACUUCUAGGCCAAAAUUCCCAACUUAAUUAAUUUAAUGGCCCAAAUAAUUAUAGUAGCCCAUCUCCAACUAAAGUGGCCCAAAUCCUUAAAUAUUUAGGAGUGGCCCAAUCAAAAUAAAUCAGCCCCCAACAUUCUUCUUCCUCCAUCGACACUUCUCAAUUUUUCUCCUCCAAAUUCACUUUCAUUCCCAAAAUCAAUUUCACUCAUUUUCCCCCAAAUCUCUCAAUUAGGUAUAACCCUUCUUCUUCUCUCGGAUAUGGCGAUCAAUCGCCGUCCUCUUCCUAUCACCGGUUCUCGCCUUCCUCCGGCGAAUCCUCUCAUCUCGGCAACUCCUCCAGAAUCGGCACUCGCCUCCGAUCCCCCUCUACUGCUCUCUUACCGACCGGUCGUCGGCUAUGCAGCGGUGUGUGCGACGGUCACGCCGUUUUUUGCUCUCUCUCUCUCUCUCUCUCUCCGUCGAGUUCUCCAAUCACUACUCCAUGGAGCGGUCACGGCGCUGCCCCGUCUGUCGGGUUCGGGCAAGUGCAGCCCCUUCUCGGCCUCUUCCCCUGCCGCUGCAGCUACCGCCUCACUGCUCGUUGCUGCCAGUUGCACAGGCGGACAGCCGCUGCUGGAGCUGUUCAGCCGGGAAGUCCCCGGGGCGGCCCUCGCCAUCGCCGGUGGUCUCCAAGGCAGCUCCUCGGCCUUAAAGCUAAGUUCUUUAAUUCUCAUUGCUUAGACUACUUUGUUGAGUCCUUGGGGCAGUUAGUGUGAGGUGUGACUAUUUGGUGUUGGGAGAGGCUUACUGUUUGGUUUUAAACUCUUGAAAGUUCACUAGGAUGCACUCACUUUCUUGUCUAAGUUAUCAAGCUUGGUUUGAUUAAGAUCUCUCUCUAUUAGAUACUUAAUCCAUACUUGCUACAGCCAUGAGACUUCUAUAGCUAUGAUUCUAUGUUCUUGAGCCAAGUAUGAUGUCCGAAAUAAUGCAGAGACGGUGCUAGUGUAUUACCUCUUUCUCAACGACUCCUUCGAACGCCGGACUGCCCUUAAGCUCGCCGCCACUCCUUCCUCUCUUGCUGCACUUCUUGUGAUUUGUGAAUUUAGAGAGAGGUGUGAGGAAGGAGGUGGUGAUGGGCUGGUAUUUAUAGCCAAAACUUCUUGGCAUUUUGUGUCUAAUUUGGGUUAAAGAUUCCCUCUUCUUUUUGGUUUUGGGUUUAAAGCUUCACUACUAAAUUGGUGUAAUCCUUGGAAAGUGAUAUGCUAUUUCGGGGCUGCUCCUCAGCUCCCUUUCGAGCUUGGUGACACUGCUAUUCUUACUAAUUUGAUGAAUGUUGGGGCUGUCCUCCUUGGCAUCUUGUGCCUGCAAUCUUGGGGGCAAAGGCUCCUAUUUUUGGCCGCCAGCUUGCUCUCUUUUUGAGCCUUGUGAUGUUGUUGUCUACUUCAAAAUGGUGUACAGCUGGCCAUCUCCUUGGAGCUUUGUGGGUGUUUUAAAAUCGAGAAGGGAAAGAGAAGAUGACUCAUGCUCAAGCUUUCCUUGAUUCCAUUACCAUUUAUAGCUAGAGUCAAACUUGUAGACUUUGUCCUUUAGAAUAGCUAAGAUAUAGCUAUUCAUUUCUGGUGUAUAAUAAGGUGUAGAGCAUUCUAUUUGAUCAAUUGGCAUUUCCUCUUUCCAACAA
Salvia splendens (bonfire salvia) is the source of this 1797-nucleotide long non-coding RNA. RefSeq lists it as uncharacterized. The record is from RefSeq and is a predicted model, not a curated record. The transcript has 2 exons. Lineage: Eukaryota; Viridiplantae; Streptophyta; Magnoliopsida; Lamiales; Lamiaceae.